Molecule: ribosomal RNA, 301 nt
Filed under: uncultured bacterium
Lineage: Bacteria
Description: partial 16S ribosomal RNA
Rfam family: Bacterial small subunit ribosomal RNA
Source: RNAcentral
CAGCAGCCACGGUAAUACAGAGGGUGCGAGCGUUAAUCGGAUUUACUGGGCGUAAAGCGUGCGUAGGCGGCUUUUUAAGUCGGAUGUGAAAUCCCUGAGCUUAACUUAGGAAUUGCAUUCGAUACUGGGAAGCUAGAGUAUGGGAGAGGAUGGUAGAAUUCCAGGUGUAGCGGUGAAAUGCGUAGAGAUCUGGAGGAAUACCGAUGGCGAAGGCAGCCAUCUGGCCUAAUACUGACGCUGAGGUACGAAAGCAUGGGGAGCAAACAGGAUUAGAUACCCGGGUAGUCCCUGUCUCUUAUAA